This 250-nucleotide ribosomal RNA is filed under the name uncultured bacterium. RNAcentral's name for it is "partial 16S ribosomal RNA". It matches the Rfam family "Bacterial small subunit ribosomal RNA", at positions 524 to 773 of the family's 1533-position model. The record is from RNAcentral.
UACGGAGGGUGCAAGCGUUGUCCGGAUUUAUUGGGUUUAAAGGGUGCGUAGGCGGCUGAUUAAGUCAGCGGUGAAAGUUUUCGGCUCAACCGAGAGACUGCCGUUGAUACUGGUUGGCUUGAGUUAUGGAGGGGUACAUGGAAUUUAUGGUGUAGCGGUGAAAUGCAUAGAUACCAUAAGGAACACCGAUAGCGAAGGCAUUGUACUGGCCAUAAACUGACGCUGAGGCACGAAAGCGUGGGUAGCGAAC